This is a long non-coding RNA of Sinocyclocheilus grahami, 319 nucleotides long. RefSeq lists it as uncharacterized. Lineage: Eukaryota; Metazoa; Chordata; Actinopteri; Cypriniformes; Cyprinidae. The record is from RefSeq and is a predicted model, not a curated record. The transcript has 3 exons.
AAGAAAAUCAGGCUGAUGAAUGAGGAAUGAACAUGGCCUUCUUGUGCACAAACAGAAAAGACAGAGAGCUGAAAAGUUGCACAUUUCCAUUGCUCCUAGAAUGAGCAAAUCAGCUGUGCAUCAUCUCUGGGAUUUGGGAAGGAAAUGACUGAAUAUGAAAGAUGAAGCCAGUUGAUGAAGAUAUAAAUUCAAUGGCCACCAAGUGCCGCACUGCUGCCUGAACCCAUCAGUUAUCUGCUGUGAAGACUGCAUUCGCAAACAGCUCUACUGCGACAGCUCAGAUGUUAUGGCCAUAAAAGUAAACUUCACAACUGAAGUU